GGGUCAGUAGGUUGGUCGUGCCACCGGUACGUACUGGUCUCGCUGAUUCCUCCUUCCUGAAGAACCGUAAUGCCAUUAAUUUGGUGUUGCGGGGAAACAGGACUGUUACUUUGAAAAAAUUAGAGUGUUUAAAGCAAGCUAACGCUUGAAUACAUUGGCAUGGAAUAAUGAAAUAGGACGAUCGAUCCUAUUUUGUUGGUUUCUAGGAUUGACGUA
RNAcentral lists this ribosomal RNA (216 nucleotides) under Glomeromycotina sp. RNAcentral's name for it is "partial small subunit ribosomal RNA". The stretch from base 44 to 216 matches the Rfam family "Eukaryotic small subunit ribosomal RNA", at positions 690 to 864 of the family's 1831-position model. Lineage: Eukaryota; Fungi; Glomeromycota. The record is from RNAcentral.